UGCAGUCGAGCGGUAGCACAGAGAGCUUGCUCUCGGGUGACGAGCGGCGGACGGGUGAGUAAUGUCUGGGAAACUGCCUGAUGGAGGGGGAUAACUACUGGAAACGGUAGCUAAUACCGCAUAAUGUCGCAAGACCAAAGUGGGGGACCUUCGGGCCUCAUGCCAUCAGAUGUGCCCAGAUGGGAUUAGCUAGUAGGUGGGGUAACGGCUCACCUAGGCGACGAUCCCUAGCUGGUCUGAGAGGAUGACCAGCCACACUGGAACUGAGACACGGUCCAGACUCCUACGGGAGGCAGCAGUGGGGAAUAUUGCACAAUGGGCGCAAGCCUGAUGCAGCCAUGCCGCGUGUGUGAAGAAGGCCUUCGGGUUGUAAAGCACUUUCAGCGGGGAGGAAGGCGUUAAGGUUAAUAACCUUGGCGAUUGACGUUACCCGCAGAAGAAGCACCGGCUAACUCCGUGCCAGC
RNAcentral lists this ribosomal RNA (464 nucleotides) under activated sludge bacterium KC29. RNAcentral describes it as "bacterial SSU rRNA". It matches the Rfam family "Bacterial small subunit ribosomal RNA", at positions 56 to 512 of the family's 1533-position model. The record is from RNAcentral.